UUCUCAGGUGUGGUCGGAAUGCUCCUGAAUUUGGAUAACCCCAUUGGCAAUCGUACCAACCAUUACCUUGCUCGGACUAUCGCUCUAUGAACUCGGGGCCCAGCAAGCGUCGGUUCACUGGGGAAUCGCGGCGCUCACCAUGAUCCUGAUGAUCCUGUUCUCCCAGUACCUCCGUGACCUGCAGUUUCCGAUCCCGAUGUGCAAGGCGGGCGGAGGCAUGCAGAUCUCGCGCUUCCCGCUCUUCACUUUUUUUGCCGCUGCUCAUAACGAUCUGCAUCUCGUGGAGCCUGUGCGCGAUCCUCACAGCCU
Long non-coding RNA from Penaeus chinensis, 309 nucleotides. RefSeq lists it as uncharacterized. The transcript has 3 exons. The record is from RefSeq and is a predicted model, not a curated record. NCBI's taxonomy places the organism in Eukaryota, Metazoa, Arthropoda, Malacostraca, Decapoda, Penaeidae.